GGUCUUGUGGUCUAGUGGUAUGAUUCUCGGUAGGUUAAUCAUUAUUACUGUAAAUGACAGUACCAUUAAUAAAUUUCACAGCUUAGGGUGAACCUGAGUUAAAUGCGAGGUAAGUUUGGUACCGACUUACAAACUGAACGUCACACUUACAUGCUCGACAGAGGCCCCGCGUUCGAAUCGCGGCAAGACCC
This is a non-coding RNA of Cenococcum geophilum 1.58, 191 nucleotides long. The record is from the annotation of a GenBank genome assembly. NCBI's taxonomy places the organism in Eukaryota, Fungi, Ascomycota, Dothideomycetes, Gloniales, Gloniaceae.